RNAcentral lists this unclassified non-coding RNA (375 nucleotides) under soil metagenome. RNAcentral describes it as "partial contains 5.8S ribosomal RNA, internal transcribed spacer 2, and large subunit ribosomal RNA". The stretch from base 1 to 120 matches the Rfam family "5.8S ribosomal RNA", at positions 35 to 154 of the family's 154-position model. The record is from RNAcentral.
GAUGAAGAACGUAGUGAAAUGCGAUAAGUAAUGUGAAUUGCAGAAUUCAGUGAAUCAUCGAAUCUUUGAACGCACAUUGCACCCGGUGGUAUUCCGCCGGGUAUGCCUGUUCGAGCGUCAUUUCCACCCUCAGGCUCCCCUUCCUCACGGGGGGGGAGGGCCUGGCGUUGGGGAUCUACGGGCCCUUUUCUGGCGCCCGUAGUCUCCUAAAUUAAUCGGCGUACGCGCUGUACGUUGCCCCCUGCGUAGUAGUGAUUUCUCGCAUCGGGCCGUAGCGCUGUCCAGCCGCUAAACUGCAACUACGCAUUUAGCUAGGUUUGACCUCGAAUCAGGUAGGGUUACCCGCUGAACUUAAGCAUAUCAAUAAGCGGAGGA